GAGGAAUGAAUUUCUUCGUUGUGUCAUUCAGAGGAGAUGCAGAAAGGACUAUUUUAGCUGAAGAUACUAGAGAACUGCCUGAUCUUAUGGAUGAACAAGCUGAGCAAUCCGUAAGCAAACUAUAUGUUAUUAAACUUAAUGAUAUGCUUUACAUUACAUAAGAAACCA
Long non-coding RNA from Mytilus californianus (California mussel), 168 nucleotides. RefSeq lists it as uncharacterized. The transcript is spliced from 3 exons. Lineage: Eukaryota; Metazoa; Mollusca; Bivalvia; Mytilida; Mytilidae. The record is from RefSeq and is a predicted model, not a curated record.